This is a long non-coding RNA of Equus asinus (donkey), 3729 nucleotides long. Lineage: Eukaryota; Metazoa; Chordata; Mammalia; Perissodactyla; Equidae. The record is from Ensembl.
GUGAGGGUGCAAAUGAUGUCCGAAAAGGUUCUUAUUUUGAAUCAUUUACUGGAAACACCAUGGUCGCGUUAGAAACUUUUUUGUGAGUGAGAAGAAAAUUGCAAGACUGACCAGAUUCAAGAGUGAAACUCAUCUGUGUCAAUGUGUGUUGGCCCAAGUAGGACACUCAUGCAAACACACCGCCCUUUUACUAACAAGGUGUGUGAGGCAGCUGAUCUCCUGCUCAUCCCCCAGUUAUAUCUGUGGGCUUUGUGGUGAAUGAACAUGGAUAGUCAUUUCAUCUCCUAAUCAACAAGAGAAUGAGUACUGGAAUAACAUCUUGGCAUCACCAGGAAGAGAAAGAAUCUAGAAUCCCUGCCAGGGUCUCUGAGCAUGUCAAGCAAUUUGAAUCGGCACAUCACAGCCUUCUUGUGCUUUGGGACACUGGACAGCACUUCAGCACUACCAUCGGGGGCCAUUUUAAACAGCGAACCAACAAAAAGCACAAAAGCGAGAAAAAUGUGGUGCUAAAUAGAUCAGGAAAAGGACACCUGUUUACAAUAAGAUAGCUGAAACAAGAAGGGAGAGCAUCACUUUGUUGGACUAUAGCUGGGGAUGCACACAAUGGAAUACAAUGGAGAACAUAUUCCAGACUGUCGAGAGCUUGCUACUAACUCCAACGGCCCCGACAUGGGUACAGAUAAGGAGAAAAAAAUGGAGGCAAUUUUUUUUCCCCUGCAGAGAUUUCAGAGAUUGAAGCUAAGACAUCCAGUUGCAUUUGAAAAUCGCGUUACCUGCCCACUUAAUGGUUUCGGAGACCCCAUCGUCUCUGAGAGGCCACAUGGAGCAAAACACAGUUAUCUGAACCAAGGGCUUCUUAGACCAGCCAGCCCCCAGCUGACCCACUAGCAGAUCGCUGAUGCAUGCGUGAAUCCAGUCAAGAUGAGCUGAGCCCAACCUAUAUCAGAACAGUCCAUCCGACCUACCAGCUAAAGAGAAGGAAGAGAAGUUUGUUGUUUACAUUGUUGCCGUUUAUUGACCAUAUACUACGUGCCAGAAAUUGCUAAAUUCAGAGAACACAAUGACGUAUGGAAUCUGAUCUCUUCUCUUGAAUAGGUCAAGAGCAUUCAAAGUGAGAUUAAGAUGGAAAGGGCUACAAUGUCUAUUUGACAGAUGGGAAAAACUGAGGUAUGAAAGAGUGCUAUGGUUUGCUUAAACGGGCACUGAGACAUUGAGGUUGCGCUACGAGGAGAAGGCCAGAACUUGGCCAUCCUUAAUGUAAGCAUUUACUCAGAGGAAAACUGUUAAUCAGUUGGAGAAAUGGAAAGAACACUUCCUUUCCAAUCUUCACCUCUCCUUUCAAAUAUUUAUUUUAAUUUGCACUUAUUUGGCAAUGUAGGAAAUAUAAAAAAUUUGCCCUAGCUUUGCUUACAUUUUAUGUGGGGAGAGGAGAUAUAACUGCCCAGAAUUUCAAUAACGACGCAAGAGUUUAAGGCCAAUAUUCACCAGCUAAAAUGAGACGAUCAUUUUGAAUUAUACUGUCCCCCAAUAGAUCACGGUCAUAUCCACCAGACUUUGAGCUCCUGGGACCUAGGACCUGCGUCUUGCUCAAUAUCGCAUGUCAGCAGCUAGCAGGGAAAUGAGUCAUUGAGAUAAUUAGGCAUACAGUUUGCUUUUGCUUUAAGAGGACCAAUUCUAAAUGGCAUUCCUGUUAUAUUUCCUUUUGUUUUUUCGUUUGUUUUGUUUUAACUUUAACAAGUAGAAUCAGAGCAUUUCAUGUCUAUCAUGGGGAGGAGAACCGACAUUUGUCAAACACUUGCCACAUUCUAGGCCCCAUGUCAGGCCUGUUAUGUUCUUAAUGAAUUUAAUCCUCACAGUGACCAUACGAGGCAGAUUUUUAUCUCUGGCCCUGUACAGAUGUCAAUACUGGGCCUCUCUGAGUAACCUGUCAAAUUUCACACAGUAAGUAUAUGGAAUAGAAUUUUUUUACUUAAAACUUAUUUCCUCUCUCCAUGCUAACACUCUACCUUGAAUCUCAGCUGGAUCAACCCCUUACCUAGUGACUUGUAAAUCUUCAAUUUGAAAAGUUUUGCAAUGAAGGGAGAGAGGAGGAAAGCCAUAGUUUAGAAGAGGACUCACACAUUUUCAGCUGGAGAACAGUGGGAGCCCCAGAGAUUAUGGAGUCGCCGUGGGAUAGAUUAGCAUGUGGGGUGUCUGACAGUUUAAAAGAGGGCUGGUUUAUUAUUACACUAUGAGUAGCCCUCGGAAACUGGGUGCCCUGAUUAUGAUAAUACAAGCUGUUCAGAUGAGAUUCUUCUUUACUCCAAGUUUGAAGCCCCAUGUUUUAGCAGCUGGAAAUGGGGGAUACGUGGAGCUUUCCUUAAGAAGAGCUGCCUUGCCUGUGUUUUCACAGUUUUGCCCGUUCGGUCAAGUGUGGAUGAAGCUGUUACUCUGGUCUCUCAUAAGGAAAGGGAGCCUUGUGUGUGGUGGGCAUGAGGUCAGCCUCUGAGGACAUAAACCUGAUGGAGACACAGGCCUCAUGAGGAGUUCACGGUGAACCUACAACCAGCGUUUAUGGAGCACCGGUGUGCCCGAAGGAAAACAGAGCCCAGAUAAUUUAAAGGACUCACAUGCGCUCCCAGAGCUAGUAAUUUCCCGAAUCCAUAACCAGGCCUCCAGAUAUGACAUCCAGGGACCAGCAACUCCAGUUUUAAGAAAAGAGCAAAGCCAGUUACAUCGUUCUGCACAAAGGCCCUGCUAGAGCUGAGCUACCCAGAGACCAGACCAGAGUGGAUUACUGAAUAUAACUAACCAAAUAAAAGUUAACUGAAGGACUAAAUGUGAUCACAUGGAGAAUGGACUCAUCUCUUGCCAGGAGUGAGCUUCUCAUCUACUGGCUUGGGGAGCAUUUGGCUGCCUUUUCCCCUUCCAGGCUGGGCAAACAGCUCAUUCUGAUGAUCUGAGAGAUGAGCCUCUGGUGAUGUCAGUCUCCCCCUGGGCACAGGGGCCCAUUAUCACAUGCACUUGACCUUCACUCUCCAAUAUGCUGGAUCUCAGCUCAGGAGUGACUCAGCGACGGUGAGCCUGUGCUCCUCCUUCAGAGAGGGCUGUGGUUUUCCUCAGGACAAAUGUUCCCAAAUGUUCCUGCAAAAUCUCCUUGCCAAGCCAGGUGCCUGAAGCCACAGCUCUCUGCCAUUUCAGACCUAAUUUAAGGUUUACUGGUACAUUAGGGACCGGGAAGAAGUUCACUGAAUUUGUUUCCCUAAGGAAACUAGGAUGAGAAUUUUUUACAUUUGCUUCUGCAGAUUCACUUUUUGCCCCCCUAAAUUUCACUAUGAAAAUGUUCCAACAUAUAGAAAAAUGGAAAGCACUCAUACGCCAAUCACCAAGAUUCUACCAUAAUCAUCUUACUAUAACUUACUCGCCUUAUCACAUAUUUAUCUAUUCAUUUAUCCCUCCAUCCAUCAAUCUUAUUACUACUAAUUUCUUUUUUGAGGAAGAUUAGCUCUGAGCUAACAUCUGUUGCCAAUCCUCCUCUUUUUGCUGAGGAAGACUGGCCCUGAGCUAACAUCCGUGCCCAUCUUCCUCUACCUUACACGUGGGACGCCUACCACAGCAUGGCUUGCCAAGCAGUGCCAUGUCCACACCCGGGAUCCAAACUAGCGAACCACGAGCUGCCGAAGCAGAAUGUGCGCAUUUACUUAACUGCUGAGCCACCGGGCCAACCUCUAUCUUAUUUUUUACAAAAAU